CCCCGGGAGGGGAGUGAAAUAGAACCUGAAACCGUGUGCCUACAACCGCUCAGAGCCCCUUAUGAGGGUGAUGAGGUGCUUUUUGUAGAACGAGCCAACGAGUUACGGUAUGUAGCAAGGUUAAGUACUUAAGGUACGGAGCCGAAGGGAAACCGAGUCUGAAUGUUCAAGCGGUAGGAGAGCGUCGUAACCGGGCUGAAGUCGUACCGUAAGGAGCGGUGGACUGGUUACGAGUGAGAAUGUUGGCAUCAGUAGCGAGAUGUGGGUGAGAAUCCCACAGGCCGAAAACCUAAGGUUUCCUCAGGAAGGUUCGUCCGCUGAGGGUUAGUCGGGACCUAAGCCGAGGCCGAAAGGCGUAGGUGAUGGACAACUGGUUGAUAUUCCAGUACCACUACCAUCGUUAUUAUCGAUGGCGUGACGCAGGAGGAUAGUGUGUGCUAGCUAUUGGAUGCUAGUCUAAGCGUUUAGGCAGUGAGAGUAGGCAAAUCCGCUCUCAUAAUGCUGAGGCGUGAUGGGGAAGGUUCUACGGAACCGAAGUACAUGAUUCCACGCUGCCAAGAAAAGCGUCUAGAGAGAGAAGUAGUGCCCGUACCGCAAACCGACACAGGUAGGUGAGGAGAGAAUCCUAAGGCCGGCGGAAGAAUUACAGUUAAGGAACUCGGCAAAUUGACCCCGUAAGUUCGCGAGAAGGGGUGCCUACGAGAGUAGGCCGCAGAGAAUAGGCCCAAGCAACUGUUUAGCAAAAACACAGGUCUCUGCUAAAGCGUAAGCUGAUGUAUAGGGGCUGACGCCUGCCCGGUGCUGGAAGGUUAAGGGGAACACUUAGCGCAAGCGAAGGUGUGAACUUAAGCCCCAGUAAACGGCGGCCGUAACUAUAACGGUCCUAAGGUAGCGAAAUUCCUUGUCAGGUAAGUUCUGACCCGCACGAAUGGCGUAAUGACUUGGGCACUGUCUCAACUGUAAAUCCGGCGAAGUUGUAGUGCGAGUGAAGAUGCUCGCUACCCGCGAUUGGACGGAAAGACCCCGUAGAGCUUUACUGUAGCUUAGCAUUGAGUUUUGGUAUUGUCUGUACAGGAUAGGUGGGAGACUAGGAAACCAGGGCGUCAGCCUUGGUGGAGUCAACCUUGGGAUACCACCCUGACAGUACUGAAAUUCUAACUGGCGGCCAUGAAUCUGGUCACAGGACAUUGUUAGGUGGGCAGUUUGACUGGGGCGGUCGCCUCCUAAAAAGUAACGGAGGCGCCCAAAGGUUCCCUCAGAACGGUCGGAAAUCGUUCGAAGAGUGCAAAGGCAGAAGGGAGCCUGACUGCGACACCCACAAGUGGAGCAGGGACGAAAGUCGGGCUUAGUGAUCCGGUGGUACCUCGUGGGAGGGCCAUCGCUCAACGGAUAAAAGCUACCUCGGGGAUAACAGGCUGAUCUCCCCCAAGAGUCCACAUCGACGGGGAGGUUUGGCACCUCGAUGUCGGCUCGUCGCAUCCUGGGGCUGAAGUAGGUCCCAAGGGUUGGGCUGUUCGCCCAUUAAAGCGGCACGCGAGCUGGGUUCAGAACGUCGUGAGACAGUUCGGUCCCUAUCCGUCGCGGGCGUAGGAAAUUUGAGAGGAGCUGUCCUUAGUACGAGAGGACCGGGAUGGACUGACCUCUGGUGUACCAGUUGUUCCGCCAGGAGCACAGCUGGGUAGCUAAGUCGGGAAUGGAUAAACGCUGAAAGCAUCUAAGCGUGAAGCCAACCUCAAGAUGAGAUUUCCCAUAGCGUAAGCUAGUAAGAUCCCUUGAAGAACACAAGGUUGAUAGGUCGGGGGUGUAAGCAUGGUAACAUGUUCAGCUGACCGAUACUAAUAGAUCGAGGGCUUGACCAAAU
This 1861-nucleotide ribosomal RNA is filed under the name Clostridium perfringens. Its description in RNAcentral is "bacterial LSU rRNA". It matches the Rfam family "Bacterial large subunit ribosomal RNA", at positions 524 to 2925 of the family's 2925-position model. Lineage: Bacteria; Bacillati; Bacillota; Clostridia; Eubacteriales; Clostridiaceae. The record is from RNAcentral.